RNAcentral lists this ribosomal RNA (330 nucleotides) under uncultured eukaryote. RNAcentral's name for it is "partial 18S ribosomal RNA". It matches the Rfam family "Eukaryotic small subunit ribosomal RNA", at positions 1470 to 1796 of the family's 1831-position model. The record is from RNAcentral.
CCCUUAGAUGUUCGGGGCCGCACGCGCGCUACACUGAAGGAAUCAGCACGUCUUUCUCCUUGUCCGAAAGGACUGGGUAACCCGCUGAACCUCCUUCGUGCUAGGGAUUGGGGCUUGUAAUUCUUCCCCAUGAACGAGGAAUUCCCAGUAAGCGCGAGUCAUAAGCUCGCGUUGAUUACGUCCCUGCCCUUUGUGCACACCGCCCGUCGCUACUACCGAUUGGAUGGUUUAGUGAGAUCCUCGGAUUGGUCCCGGAGCGGCCUCUGGUCGUGCCGGAGUGCCGAAAAGAAUGUCGAACUUGAUCAUCUAGAGGAAGUAAAAGUCGUAACA